GUGCUUGCUUGAACAGCACAUAUAUUAAAAUUGGUAUGAUACAAAGAAGACUAGCAUGGCCCUGUGCAAGGAUGACAUGCAAAUUCAUGAAGUGUUCCAUCUUUUU
This is a small nuclear RNA of Sorex araneus (European shrew), 106 nucleotides long. The record is from Ensembl. Lineage: Eukaryota; Metazoa; Chordata; Mammalia; Eulipotyphla; Soricidae.